UACGGAGGGUGCGAGCGUUGUCCGGAAUCAUUGGGCGUAAAGGGCGCGUAGGUGGCGGGACAAGCGUGCGGUGAAAGCCUGGGGCUCAACCCCGGGUCAGCCGUGCGAACUGUUUUGCUUGAGCACUGUAGAGGCAGGCGGAAUUCCGGGUGUAGCGGUGGAAUGCGUAGAGAUCGUAAGGAAGACCAGUGGCGAAGGCGAGUCUCUGGACAGUUGCUGACGCUGAGGCACGAAGGCCAGGGGAGCAAACGGG
RNAcentral lists this ribosomal RNA (253 nucleotides) under uncultured bacterium. RNAcentral describes it as "partial 16S ribosomal RNA". It matches the Rfam family "Bacterial small subunit ribosomal RNA", at positions 524 to 776 of the family's 1533-position model. The record is from RNAcentral.